This 359-nucleotide ribosomal RNA is filed under the name uncultured organism. Its description in RNAcentral is "bacterial SSU rRNA". It matches the Rfam family "Bacterial small subunit ribosomal RNA", at positions 45 to 433 of the family's 1533-position model. The record is from RNAcentral.
GGCUUAACACAUGCAAGUCGAGCGGGUCCUUCGGGGUCAGCGGCGGACGGGUGAGUAACGCGUGGGAACGUGCCUUCUGGUUCGGAAUAACCCUGGGAAACUAGGGCUAAUACCGGAUACGCCCUUUUGGGGAAAGGUUUACUGCCGGAAGAUCGGCCCGCGUCUGAUUAGCUAGUUGGUGGGGUAACGGCCUACCAAGGCGACGAUCAGUAGCUGGUCUGAGAGGAUGAUCAGCCACACUGGGACUGAGACACGGCCCAGACUCCUACGGGAGGCAGCAGUGGGGAAUAUUGGACAAUGGGCGCAAGCCUGAUCCAGCCAUGCCGCGUGAGUGGUAAGGCCUUAGGGUUGUAAAGCUC